GACGAACGCUGGCGGCGUGCUUAACACAUGCAAGUCGAGCGGUAAGGCCCUUUCGGGGGGUACACGAGCGGCGAACGGGUGAGUAACACGUGGGUGACCUGCCCUCAGCUCUGGGAUAAGCCUGGGGAAACUGGGUCUAAUACUGGAUAUGACUCCACGGUGCAUGUCGUGGGGGUGGAAAGCCUUGUGCGGCUGAGGGAUGGGGCCCCGCGGCCUAUCAGCUUGUUGGUGGGGNG
This 236-nucleotide ribosomal RNA is filed under the name uncultured bacterium. RNAcentral's name for it is "partial 16S ribosomal RNA". It matches the Rfam family "Bacterial small subunit ribosomal RNA", at positions 28 to 259 of the family's 1533-position model. The record is from RNAcentral.